RNAcentral lists this ribosomal RNA (253 nucleotides) under uncultured bacterium. RNAcentral's name for it is "partial 16S ribosomal RNA". It matches the Rfam family "Bacterial small subunit ribosomal RNA", at positions 524 to 776 of the family's 1533-position model. The record is from RNAcentral.
UACAGAGGGUGCGAGCGUUAAUCGGAAUUACUGGGCGUAAAGCGUGCGUAGACGGUUUCGUAAGUCGGGUGUGAAAUCCCCGGGCUCAACCUGGGAAUUGCAUUCGAAACUGCGAGGCUAGGGUACGGAAGAGGCGAGUGGAAUUCCUGGUGUAGCGGUGGAAUGCGCAGAUAUCAGGAGGAACACCAAUAGCGAAGGCAGCUCGCUGGGACGUUACUGACACUGAGGCGCGAAAGCGUGGGGAGCGAACAGG